RNAcentral lists this ribosomal RNA (3497 nucleotides) under Pulleniatina obliquiloculata. RNAcentral's name for it is "bacterial SSU rRNA". The stretch from base 1160 to 3497 matches the Rfam family "Eukaryotic small subunit ribosomal RNA". The record is from RNAcentral. Lineage: Eukaryota; Foraminifera; Rotaliida; Pulleniatinidae.
AACCCGACAGUUUAAAUAAGUGUCUUUAUUCUAAACUGUGUAUGUCGUUUAUUACACUAUGUAAUAACGAUACACGACUAAAAUACGAAUCUAUUAAACAAGGAUUCUCUUUUAGAUACUCUAAAAGGAAUCACUUAUGCAACUGCAUACAGCUGCUUAAUACAGUCACACUUGUCUUGACUUGGCGCUAUUUCUUUUAUCGCUAUAAGCGAUGUUAGAUUUCAUCUGUUAUUCUAUUAUUAGAAUAAACAGAAUGACUCACCCAUAUCCUAUUAAUGGAUAACUCAGGGAAAGUUUGGCUAAUACAUACGAGAAUUACCAUACACACACGGGUUAUAUUUGUAAUACCUAUUAUUGCAAUAAGCGCUAUUGACUCUAAGCGGGGGAGAUAUUACGCUUGCGUAUGCCUCUAUACAGACAUGCGGAUGCCUCUUUAUUGACGGUAUUUCACUUGUCUCUAUUAGUUUAUUAUAGCCUAUAAGACAAUAUCUGUAUUACUUUUUUUAACUCUAAUAAUACAAUACCCCUUAUUCUCUGCACUCAAUGGUUAAUCUUUAGGUAUUAACGAUAUAAUCGUUAUACCUUUCCUUAUAAGAUUACAAACAACAUGAGAGACAUUGAGCACGCAUCGUAAUAUGAUUCUAUUACUUGUUAAUAGAUCUAUUACAUUUUUUACGCUGAGCAGACUUUACGAAGUUCACUUUGUGAAGCAUGUCAUACAAGCAUCUACAGCAUCAAGUCACAGGGUUGGCAAGUGUAUUUUUGAACCUUCAAAGCAGUCACGCAUACGGAAGAGUAGUUUCUGAUCCCAUAGAAGGAGCACCGUACAAUGAGAGACCGCUCUUAGUUCUAAGGAACGCAGCAGGCGCGUAAAUUGCCCAAUGACAGUACCCUACAAUCUCUUAUAAUAAUCUUAUUAUAAGAGUAAUUGAUAUCUAUUGAAUCAUUGCAAUUAAAUACGCAAUUAAACAACGUAUUAAUAUCGUGUACUCGUUUUAUUACAUUCUUAUAACGACUAUAAGAAUAUUAUCCUUGUCCGCUGUUAAUACCACGUAUAAUCUAAUAUACUAAUAUAUUAGUUUUAAUACGUUGAGGCAGUGACAAGCUGUAACGGUUGAGUAUUUUAAAUGACGAGUGUCUGGCAUUGCCGCUCUUUCGGGAGCUUGGCAAGUUGCCGACGCUUUGUGUGCUCAAUUGGAAUGCGGUGAGUUUAAGCAACUCAGAACCUUUUAUUGGUGUUUUUAAUCACUCACUAAUGACGUAUCUGAAUUUCAAGUGGAGGGCAAGUCUGGUGCCAGCAGCCGCGGUAAUACCAGCUCCACUGGCCUAUACAAUCAUUGUUGCGGUUAAGAGGCUCGUAGUUGGAUUGAACUACUAUAAUGUUAUUGUUAUUCUAAUAGCAAUUACUUAUUAUACGUGGUAUUAUUAGCAGCUAAUAAAUCUUUUAUUAGCUGUUAAUUCGACUCUUUUGUUUAAAAGAGCUAAUAACAUGUUAUACACACACACACACAAUCCUUAUUCUAUAAGGUAAUUGCUGUUGUAAUUACAAUACUCUCUCAACACUGUGAACAAAUCAGAGUGUAUCAAACAUGUUGUUUUUUCUUGUGCAUUGUAUGUCUUAUCAUGGGAUGUUGCACUCGUAAAACUAUAAGAGAUAAAUAAACUAUUAAAUCUAUUAAAAGAUUAUAAUCUUAUAAUAAUAGAUUAAUCUCUUAUAGAGCUUCUAAUACGAAAAUGUCGAUGGGGAUAGUUGGAGCCAACAGUACUGCUGGGCGAGCGGUGAAAUGCAUUGACCCUAGCAAGACUACCAAAAGCGAAAGCAGUUGGCUAGGCUAUACUCUUUGUGAUGUUAUAUUGUUAUAUUAAGCUUAAACAAAUAAAAGUAAUAGCUUAUUAUAACCUUAUUAUAAUCACUUUACAAUGAAGAACGAAGGUUGGGGGAUCAAAGAGGAUCAGAUACCCUCGUCGUCCCAUUUGUUACAUCAAACGAUGGACUCUCAAUUGCAAUUUCUAUUAUUAGAAUUGCUAAAUGCACCUCAGCCUGCAAAUUAUAACCUGGCUCGAGCUUAUACCUAAUAUUCGUAUUAGAUAUGCUCGCCUAACUUUAACUUUCGUACGGUCUCGAUGGACAUUUUGAUUCUAUAAUCUUUAUUCUGCGUGUAAGCUAUACAUGUUUAAUCUUUAAGCAAUCUAUUAUAUUUUAAUAGGAUAUGCUGGAUUUACAUGGCGUGCACUUGAUUUUCGGAGCUUUGCGCUCAAUUCUGGUGAGAUGUAAGCACUCUGUUUAACUACCCGUACUAUAUAUUUUCCUUAACCGGAGAAUAUUAAUAGUAUCGUGUUGUAUGUUAUUCAAUCUUUUGUGUGAAGCACGCGUUAGGCACGCGCUUACUGCAGAAAUGUCUGAGACAUUCUCCUCCGGGGGUAGUAUGCACGCAAGUGUGAAACUUGAAGGAAUUGACGGAAGGGCACCACAAGAACGCGUGGAGCAUGUGGCUUAAUUUGACUCAACGCGGGAAAUCUUACCGGGUCCGGACACACUGAGGAUUGACAGGCAAUAUCUAUUAAAAGAUUAUAUUUUUAAUAUAAUUCUUAUUUUAAUAGUGUUAAAUAUGCUAGUCCUUUCAUGAUUAUGUGAUAGGUGGUGCAUGGCCGUUCUUAGUUCGUGGAGUGAUCUGUCUGCUUAAUUGCGUUUCACUAAGGGCCCAUAAAUUCAAGGUAUGUUAGCUAUUGUUUCCCUAUUGACCCCUUAUUUAAUAAGCGCGUGUCUUUAUGGGUUUAAACAUUGCGCAUGCUGUUGGGUCCUGAAAGCAACGAACGUGACCGCAACGUCUUGUUGCCUUUAUCUUGUUAUAUCUAUUAUUUUUAUAAUAGAUAAUAACUAACAGAGGCUAAUCUAAAACUAGACGGACCGCUGUUUCUUUCUUAAACCAGAGGAAGGUUGCGGCAAUAACAGGUCUGUGAUGCCCUUAGAUGUUCCGGGCUGCACACGUGCUACAAUGAUCAGUACAGUGAGCAUCUCAAUUUUUAUACACCGUAUUUAGCGCUUAGAUGCGAUUAUUGGCUCUUUUAGAGUCUUUUAAUUGUAUUUCUAAUGCGCGCGGUAAAGCCUGCUUCGAGAGUAAGUGGGUAAUCCAUUGGAAGUAAUGAUUUCUCUUUAUUAUAGCACACCUAUAUACGGCAUUCAUUCCCGGGAUGACUAGUUUCGUCUUUUUUGUGCGAAUGUAAUGUAUUCUUUAUCCGUAUGUGCGAUUGUCAAUUCAUGGUGGGGACAGACCAUUGUUAAUUGUUGGUCUCGGUCUUAACUAGGAAUGCCUUGUACGGGUCUUUGGUUCAACAAACCACCCGGAAUACGUCCCUGCCCUUUGUACACACCGCCCGUCGCUCUUACCGAUGAACUUCUUUGUGAGUCUAAGGGACUGGGUUAAUACUUAUUUUUAAUAGGUAUAUACCUAUGGAAACUUAUACGAACAAUGUGGUUUAAAGGAAAGAGAAGUCGU